RNAcentral lists this ribosomal RNA (405 nucleotides) under uncultured bacterium. Its description in RNAcentral is "partial 16S ribosomal RNA". It matches the Rfam family "Bacterial small subunit ribosomal RNA", at positions 28 to 526 of the family's 1533-position model. The record is from RNAcentral.
GACGAACGCUGGCGGCGUGCUUAACACAUGCAAGUCGAGCGGAGCGGCGAACGGGUGAGUAACGCGUGAGUAACUGCCCCCCUCUCUGGGAUAACAGAUGGAAACGGCUGCUAAUACCGGAUAGUGGGGGAUGACUUGCGUCCUAUCAGCUUGUUGGUGGGGUAGUGGCCUAGCAAGGCGACGACGGGUAGCCGGCCUGGGAGGGCGACCGGCCACAUUGGGCUUCGGUACGGCCCAAACUCCUACGGGAGGCAGCAGUGGGGAAUAUUGCACAAUGGGGCAAACCCUAAUGCAGCAACGCCACGUGCGGGAUGUCGGUCUUCGGGUUGUAAACCGCUUUCAGCCAUGACGCGGUAGUGGCAGAAGAAGCACCGGCUAACUACGUGCCAGCCGCCGCGGUAAUUC